CGACGUCCUCGCCGCCAAGGGCGUCCAAGAGCUCGCCUUCAUCAACCGCCCGUGGCCGCUCGACAUCCGCCUCCCCGCCACGCUCUUCCGCUGCGCCCCCCUGACGCGCCUCUUCCUCAGCGCCUGGAGGCUCCCGGACACGGCGGCCGUCCCGCGCUCCGCCGCCUUCCCCAACCUCCGGGAGCUCGGCCUCUCCCUCGUCGCCAUGGAGGACCGCGACCUCGCCUUCCUGCUCGACAGAAGCCCCGUCCUGGAGAUCCUCACCAUCGUUGCGGCUCAGGUCGGAGUGCGCCUCCGCCUCGUCAGCCACAGCGUGCGGUGCGUUCAGCUCUGCUAUUCCAUCCUGGUGGACAUCUUGGUGGUGGACGCCCCUCGCCUGGAGAGGCUUUUGCAGUGGACAUGGGGCCUCGGCAGUAACUCCGACAAGUGCUGCAGGGUCAAGAUUGGCCAUGCACCCAACCUGCGUGCUAUUGGAUACCUUCAGCCAGGAGAGCAUGGCUUGGAGAUUGGCAACACCGCUAUCAAGGCUGGGACUAAGUUGAGCACCAGCACCCUUGUCCCGAGUGUCCAGAACUUGGCCUUGGAACUCACUUUCCAAGUCCGCAAUGACCUCAAGAAGGUGCAUAACUUCCUCCAAUGUUUUCCCAACGUCGAGACGCUCCAUAUCAGGUCCGAAAAGGCUCGUGGGGAGUCUACUGGCAAGGUUGGUCUCAAGUUUUGGCUCGAGGGCGGUCCCAUUACGUGUAUCCGGCAGCACUUGAAGAAGAUAAUUUUCCAUGACUUCCGAGGGUCGACAAAUGAAACUGCUUUCCUCAAGUUCAUCGCUGAGAAUGCUCGGGUGCUGAAGAAUAUGGUUAUUGUGGUGUCCGAUUGGUUGUUGUCUUCGGGAGUUGAUGCGCGUGCUAUACUGAAGCAUCUGACUUGUGCAAAAUGGGCCAGCGGAGCUUGUAAGUUUCAAGUUUUCAAGAGCAUACUCAGGGAAGGAGAGCGUCCGGUUUAUGGGGUCCUACUAGCUUCUGAGGUUUUGCCAUCCGACCCUUUUGACAAGAUCUACUAUCGUGAACCACUGUUGUAA
RNAcentral lists this ribosomal RNA (1075 nucleotides) under Triticum aestivum (bread wheat). RNAcentral's name for it is "partial small subunit ribosomal RNA". Lineage: Eukaryota; Viridiplantae; Streptophyta; Magnoliopsida; Poales; Poaceae. The record is from RNAcentral.